Molecule: ribosomal RNA, 251 nt
Filed under: uncultured prokaryote
Description: partial 16S rRNA
Rfam family: Bacterial small subunit ribosomal RNA
Source: RNAcentral
ACCGGCAGCUCAAGUGGUGGCCAUUUUUAUUGGGCCUAAAGCGUUCGUAGCCGGUUUGAUAAGUCUCUGGUGAAAUCCCGCAGCUCAACCGUGGAACUGCCUUUGAUACUGCACGACUUGAAUCCGGGAGAGGGUGGCGGAAUUCCAGGUGUAGGAGUGAAAUCCGUAGAUAUCUGGAGGAACAUCAGUGGCGAAGGCGGCCACCUGGACCGGUAUUGACGCUGAGGUGCGAAAGCGUGGGGAGCAAACAG